Non-coding RNA from Triticum urartu, 472 nucleotides. The record is from RefSeq and is a predicted model, not a curated record. Lineage: Eukaryota; Viridiplantae; Streptophyta; Magnoliopsida; Poales; Poaceae.
CCUCGUCGUCUCCAGCACCGAGCCAUGCCUUGCCGGCUUACCGCUGGCCAGCCCUCCAAUCCAGUUCAAUUUUGUCAGUCCCCGACCACCCCGUAGCUCGGCACGUGGAUUAGUCCGACCACCGGCGUCGGCAAGACGGAGAGGAGUAGGGACAGGUUCGGUCAUGUUCCGACGUGGGGGCGGCGGUGGAGCGAGUUGCCGGCGGCUAACUCUGCGUCGGCCGCCGCAGAUGAGAAGAUGCUUAGUUGUACGCUGGGCAGCCCUUGACAACUAUACCUUUAGCAGUGGGGCAAGAAGCCAAGGGACAUCCAUCCAAGUCAUUUCCCCACCAGUUCAAACUGAUGUUCUCCAAGCCUAGGCACAGGUAAAUUAACACGGCCAUGAAUGCCAAACCAGCAUCUAGUGCACCUGAAAGCAGAUAAUUGUGUCGCUCCCACCAGUCACGUCGAUAUCUAUAUACCACAUAACCUGA